Molecule: ribosomal RNA, 387 nt
Filed under: uncultured microorganism
Description: bacterial SSU rRNA
Rfam family: Archaeal small subunit ribosomal RNA
Source: RNAcentral
GCGCAGCAGGCGAGAAACCUCCGCAAUGCGGGAAACCGCGACGGGGGACCCCGAGUGCCGUGGCAACGCCACGGCUUUUCCGGAGUGUAAAAAGCUCCGGGAAUAAGGGCUGGGCAAGGCCGGUGGCAGCCGCCGCGGUAAUACCGGCGGCCCGAGUGGUGGCCGCUAUUAUUGGGCCUAAAGCGUCCGUAGCCGGGCCCGUAAGUCCCUGGCGAAAUCCCACGGCUCAACCGUGGGCUUGCUGGGGAUACUGCGGGUCUUGGGACCGGGAGAGGCGGGGGGUACCCCUGGGGUAGGGGUGAAAUCCUAUAAUCCCAGGGGGACCGCCAGUGGCGAAGGCGCCCCGCUGGAACGGGUCCGACGGUGAGGGACGAAGGCCAGGGGAGC